This 328-nucleotide long non-coding RNA is filed under the name Elaeis guineensis (African oil palm). RNAcentral's name for it is "long non-coding RNA (EGUI_LNC036914)". The record is from RNAcentral. Lineage: Eukaryota; Viridiplantae; Streptophyta; Magnoliopsida; Arecales; Arecaceae.
AACUAAAAGAAAUCCAUCGGACUCCAAACUGAUUGAAGUCUGCAUAGUCCCUUUCCUUGCCUAUAAAUAAAGGGGAAGGCAUUCGUUCAGGAUAUCGACCGAGCAUGAGAGAUAGAUCGAGAGAGGAAUUUCGAUUCUGAGUGGUAGAGUCCCUCUUCCUAAUCUCCCAUCUUCUUCUCUCCUCUCCUCCUCUUAUCUUCUUCCCUCUAAUCUUCUUGUUUUUCAGUCAUCUUCUCCACAAAACUCAUCUUUUCUUCCUAAUCUUCCUCUGUCUACUUCCUUCAUGACAGACACCCUCACUGAAGGCUUUGUCUUCUCCGCAUAAACA